RNAcentral lists this microRNA (21 nucleotides) under Oryza sativa (Asian cultivated rice). Its description in RNAcentral is "osa-miR1430". Lineage: Eukaryota; Viridiplantae; Streptophyta; Magnoliopsida; Poales; Poaceae. The record is from miRBase by way of RNAcentral.
UGGUGAGCCUUCCUGGCUAAG